This 461-nucleotide ribosomal RNA is filed under the name uncultured bacterium. Its description in RNAcentral is "bacterial SSU rRNA". It matches the Rfam family "Bacterial small subunit ribosomal RNA", at positions 29 to 491 of the family's 1533-position model. The record is from RNAcentral.
AGCGAACGUUUGCGGCGGGCCUAACACAUGCAAGUCGAACGCACUAGCAAUAGUGAGUGGCGCACGGGUGCGUAACACGUGGGUAAUCAACCCUUCAGCUUGGGAUAACGACUUGAAAGGGUCGCUAAUACCGGAUACGGCGCGGGAGGCUUCGGCUUCUCACGAGAAAGCCUCGCAAGGGGCACUGAAGGACGAGCCUGCGGCCCAUCAGCUAGUUGGUGAGGUAAGAGCUCACCAAGGCGAAGACGGGUAGCUGGUCUGAGAGGAUGAUCAGCCACACUGGAACUGAGACACGGUCCAGACUCCUACGGGAGGCAGCAGUGGGGAAUAUUGCGCAAUGGGCGAAAGCCUGACGCAGCCACGCCGCGUGAGCGAUGAAGGCCUUCGGGUCGUAAAGCUCUGUGGGGAGAGACGAAGAAAGCCCGUGAAGAGCGGGCCUUGACGGUAUCUCCUUAGCAAGC